GACGAACGCUGGCGGCGUGCUUAACACAUGCAAGUCGAACGGAAAGGCCCUGCUUUUGUGGGGUGCUCGAGUGGCGAACGGGUGAGUAACACGUGAGUAACCUGCCCUUGACUUUGGGAUAACUUCAGGAAACUGGGGCUAAUACCGGAUAGCAGCUCCUGCUGCAUGGUGGGGGUUGGAAAGUUUCCGCGGUUGGGGAUGGACUCGCGGCUUAUCAGCUUGUUGGUGGGGUAGUGGCUUACCAAGGCUUUGACGGGUAGCGGGCCUGAGAGGGUGACCGGCCACAUUGGGACUGAGAUACGGCCCAGACUCCUACGGGAGGCAGCAGUGGGGAAUAUUGCACUAUGGGCGGAAGCCUGAUGCAGCAACGCCGCGUGCGGGAUGACGGCCUUCGGGUUGUAAACCGCUUUCGCCUGUGACGAAGCGUGAGUGACGGUAAUGGGUAAAGAAGCACCGGCUAACUACGUG
Molecule: ribosomal RNA, 468 nt
Filed under: uncultured bacterium
Lineage: Bacteria
Description: partial 16S ribosomal RNA
Rfam family: Bacterial small subunit ribosomal RNA
Source: RNAcentral